UUGUGUCAACAUGUUCGGCGUUUUUACCUGCAGUGUAACUGUGGGUAAAAACGCCAAACAUGUUGACAAAA
Non-coding RNA from Hydra vulgaris (swiftwater hydra), 71 nucleotides. Lineage: Eukaryota; Metazoa; Cnidaria; Hydrozoa; Anthoathecata; Hydridae. The record is from RefSeq and is marked provisional.